Molecule: ribosomal RNA, 759 nt
Filed under: Bacillus sp. (in: firmicutes)
Lineage: Bacteria; Bacillati; Bacillota; Bacilli; Caryophanales; Bacillaceae
Description: bacterial SSU rRNA
Rfam family: Bacterial small subunit ribosomal RNA
Source: RNAcentral
AGAAGGUUUUAUCAUGGCUCAGGAUGAACGCUGGCGGCGUGCCUAAUACAUGCAAGUCGAGCGAAUGGAUUAAGAGCUUGCUCUUAUGAAGUUAGCGGCGGACGGGUGAGUAACACGUGGGUAACCUGCCCAUAAGACUGGGAUAACUCCGGGAAACCGGGGCUAAUACCGGAUAACAUUUUGAACCGCAUGGUUCGAAAUUGAAAGGCGGCUUCGGCUGUCACUUAUGGAUGGACCCGCGUCGCAUUAGCUAGUUGGUGAGGUAACGGCUCACCAAGGCAACGAUGCGUAGCCGACCUGAGAGGGUGAUCGGCCACACUGGGACUGAGACACGGCCCAGACUCCUACGGGAGGCAGCAGUAGGGAAUCUUCCGCAAUGGACGAAAGUCUGACGGAGCAACGCCGCGUGAGUGAUGAAGGCUUUCGGGUCGUAAAACUCUGUUGUUAGGGAAGAACAAGUGCUAGUUGAAUAAGCUGGCACCUUGACGGUACCUAACCAGAAAGCCACGGCUAACUACGUGCCAGCAGCCGCGGUAAUACGUAGGUGGCAAGCGUUAUCCGGAAUUAUUGGGCGUAAAGCGCGCGCAGGUGGUUUCUUAAGUCUGAUGUGAAAGCCCACGGCUCAACCGUGGAGGGUCAUUGGAAACUGGGAGACUUGAGUGCAGAAGAGGAAAGUGGAAUUCCAUGUGUAGCGGUGAAAUGCGUAGAGAUAUGGAGGAACACCAGUGGCGAAGGCGACUUCUGGUCUGUAACUGACAG